GAAUUAUCGGGCUGCCCCAGCGCGCCGUGUUGUGUGACGCAGCGACAGGUUCAAAGGGGGAAGAGGGCGGGGCGCCGUAAUGACGCAAUGACGCACAGCAGCUGGGGCCGCGCUGACAGAGUGCGCUCUGCUUCCUUGACAACUGCUGGCGCCAAAAUAGGCAACGGCAGUUUGCUGAAUAUAUGAACAAGGUACAGAGGGCUAUGAAGUUCACACUGGUAUAUCAUGAUACGCUGAUAAUUUGGAUGUACAGAUAAAGAAAAGAAAAGCACGUUAGAAAACGUUAGAUAAAAUUCAGCUCCUGUUCGUGGAAAGGUCUUGCAGAUCUUCAUGCCCAUGGAGUUUGGUGUGGACUGUAAAGGUACGUUUGCACCAUGGACCCAACCGAGGGAGCAGAUUCUUAUAUGGAAAGAAGUCUGCACCCCAUGUCUUUCAGAAUGGAUAUUGUUAACAUCCGGAGUAUUGGCCAUUGCCCAGUUCAUGGACUCUUUGGCCACUUGGCUGCCAAUCGCUGCUUUUCCUAUGCUUCUGCUUGUCCUUUGCUCCGAUUGAAUUGCCCUGAAUUCUAAAAUACCCCCUGCCUAUAAGGCCGUCUUCUGCCAAACGAUGGCCAAACACUUCCUGGUACAGCCUCCCUAUACUGAUUAUGUCUCUGUGCUUUCAAACCACCCUCUGGCCCUUUAUUCAUUUGUCCCCUUGUAUUUUAUUCCCCAGAAAUUGUGGCUUAAACUGUCGACUCUCCAUACAAGACAUGAAGGCAAUGUAUGGUCAAUGCCUUUAGCUUUUUGUUCAGUAGCUCUUCAGUUUGGUAUUUCAGCUGUCUGGUUGCUAGGGUCCUAUUUACCCUAGCAAUCAGGCAGUGGUUUGAAUGAGAGAUUAUGGAUAGGAUUGGGGGCCUACAUAGAAAGUAAUAAAAUUGUAGCCUCACCAAGCAAUACGUUUUGGGUGCCGGGGUCAGUGACCCCCUUUUAAAAGCUGGAAAGGGAAAGAAGAGGUAAAUUAUAAACUAAUUGCAAAGUUGCUAGAAAUGGGGCAUUCUAUAACAUACUAAAAGGGUCAGUUUUUGAAUUAUUUACCUUCUUUGGAUUCUUUUAAGUAUUGGUUCACUGACCCCGGAAGCCCAUAAACUAUUGCUCUAUGAGGCUACAACUUU
Long non-coding RNA from Xenopus tropicalis (tropical clawed frog), 1153 nucleotides. RefSeq lists it as uncharacterized. Lineage: Eukaryota; Metazoa; Chordata; Amphibia; Anura; Pipidae. The record is from RefSeq and is a predicted model, not a curated record. The transcript has 4 exons.